AUUGAACGCUGGCGGCAUGCCUUACACAUGCAAGUCGAACGGCAGCACGGGAGCAAUCCUGGUGGCGAGUGGCGAACGGGUGAGUAAUAUAUCGGAACGUGCCCAGUCGUGGGGGAUAACGCAGCGAAAGCUGUGCUAAUACCGCAUACGUUCUACGGAUGAAAGCGGGGGAUCGCAAGACCUCGCGCGAUUGGAGCGGCCGAUAUCAGAUUAGCUAGUUGGUGGGGUAAAGGCCCACCAAGGCGACGAUCUGUAGCUGGUCUGAGAGGACGACCAGCCACACUGGAACUGAGACACGGUCCAGACUCCUACGGGAGGCAGCAGUGGGGAAUUUUGGACAAUGGGCGCGAGCCUGAUCCAGCAAUGCCGCGUGCAGGAUGAAGGCCUUCGGGUUGUAAACUGCUUUUGUACGGAACGAAACGGCCCUUUCUAAUACAGGGGGCUAAUGACGGUACCGUAAGAAUAAGCACCGGCUAACUACGUGCCAGCCGCCGCAGUAA
This 500-nucleotide ribosomal RNA is filed under the name uncultured bacterium. RNAcentral's name for it is "partial 16S ribosomal RNA". It matches the Rfam family "Bacterial small subunit ribosomal RNA", at positions 30 to 523 of the family's 1533-position model. The record is from RNAcentral.